Molecule: ribosomal RNA, 492 nt
Filed under: uncultured bacterium
Lineage: Bacteria
Description: partial 16S ribosomal RNA
Rfam family: Bacterial small subunit ribosomal RNA
Source: RNAcentral
AGUGAACGCUGGCGGUAGGCCUAACACAUGCAAGUCGAACGGCAGCACAGUAAGAGCUUGCUCUUACGGGUGGCGAGUGGCGGACGGGUGAGGAAUACAUCGGAAUCUACUUUUUCGUGGGGGAUAACGUAGGGAAACUUACGCUAAUACCGCAUACGACCUACGGGUGAAAGCAGGGGAUCUUCGGACCUUGCGCGAUUGAAUGAGCCGAUGUCGGAUUAGCUAGUUGGCGGGGUAAAGGCCCACCAAGGCGACGAUCCGUAGCUGGUCUGGGAGGAUGAUCAGCGACACUGGAACUGAGACACGGUCCAGACUCCUAAGGGAGGCAGCAGUGGGGAAUAUUGGACAAUGGGCGCAAGCCUGAUCCAGCCAUACUGCGUGGGUGAAGAAGGCCUUCGGGUUGUAAAGCCCUUUUGUUGGGAAAGAAAAGCAGCAGGUUAAUACCCCGCUGUUCUGACGGUACCCAAAGAAUAAGCACCGGCUAACUUCGUG